GGACAAUGGGCGCAAGCCUGAUCCAGCCAUGCCGCGUGGGUGAAGAAGGCCCUAGGGGUUGUAAACCCCCUUUCAGCGGGGAAGAUAAUGACGGUACCCGCAGAAGAAGCCCCCGGCUAACUCCGUGCCAGCAGCCGCGGUAAUACGGAGGGGGCUAGCGUUGUUCGGAAUUACUGGGCGUAAAGCGCGCGUAGGCGGAUCUGCAAGUCAGGGGUGAAAUCCCGAGGCUCAACCUCGGAACUGCCCUUGAUACUGCGGGUCUCGAGUCCGAGAGAGGUGAGUGGAAUUCCUAGUGUAGAGGUGAAAUUCGUAGAUAUUAGGAAGAACACCAGUGGCGAAGGCGGCUCACUGGCUCGGUACUGACGCUGAGGCGCGAAAGCGUGGGGAGCAAACAGGAUUAGAUACCCUGGUAGUCCACGCCGUAAACUAUGGGUGCUAGCCGUCGGGGAGCUUGCUCUUCGGUGGCGCAGCAAACGCAUUAAGCACCCCGCCUGGGGAGUACGGUCGCAAGAUUA
This 515-nucleotide ribosomal RNA is filed under the name uncultured Pseudomonadota bacterium. RNAcentral describes it as "bacterial SSU rRNA". It matches the Rfam family "Bacterial small subunit ribosomal RNA", at positions 366 to 896 of the family's 1533-position model. Lineage: Bacteria; Pseudomonadati; Pseudomonadota. The record is from RNAcentral.